This 387-nucleotide ribosomal RNA is filed under the name uncultured bacterium. RNAcentral's name for it is "partial 16S ribosomal RNA". It matches the Rfam family "Bacterial small subunit ribosomal RNA", at positions 523 to 918 of the family's 1533-position model. The record is from RNAcentral.
AUACGUAGGUGGCAAGCGUUAUCCGGAAUUAUUGGGCGUAAAGAGUGAGCAGGCGGUUAAUUAAGUCUGAGGUUAAAGCGUGGGGCUCAACCCCAUAAAGCCUUGGAAACUGCUUGACUAGAGUACGGGAGAAGUGAAGGGAACUCCAUGUGUAGCGGGGAAAUGCGUAGAAAAAUGGAAGAACACCAGGGGCGAAGGCCCUUCCCUAGCCCGAAACGAACGCUCAGCCCGGAAAGCGGGGGUAGAAAAUAGGAUUGGAUACCUAGUAGUCCACGCUGUAAACGAUGACAACUAAAUAUUGCCGCGAGGCAGUGUUGAAGCUAACGCAUUAAGUUGUCCGCCUGGGGAGUACGGUCGCAAGACUGAAACUUAAAGGAAUUGACGGGG